This 556-nucleotide long non-coding RNA is filed under the name Elaeis guineensis (African oil palm). Its description in RNAcentral is "long non-coding RNA (EGUI_LNC039246)". The record is from RNAcentral. Lineage: Eukaryota; Viridiplantae; Streptophyta; Magnoliopsida; Arecales; Arecaceae.
CGCUCCAGCUUCUCCAGCAUCGACCGAAAUCUCACACCAACAACGUAUAAAUUAUAUGCAUGAUGAGAUCAAAAAUUAAUUAAGGUGAUUCACAUCAUAUCAGGGAGAUGAUAUAUAUCAAUUUUAAGUACAAUCAGAUCUAAAUAUCUCUACAAUAGCUUGUAUCAUUUCAACUGAAUAAGAUGAUUUUUACUUGAUUCAGAUGAAUCAAGAUAAAAUAUAAGUAUGACCUACAAUGAUUUGUAUCAUAUCAAAAGAUGAUAUAAAUGUUAUACAAUAAUUUCAUGUACCAUCAGAUCUGAAUAUAUCUACAUUAGUUUAUAUUGUCUUAACUACACAAAAUGAUUCUCACCUGAUUCAGGUUGAUCAUGAUAACAUAUUAGUGAUACUUACAAUAAUUUGUAUCGUAUCAAAGAUGACAUAAAGAUCAAUUUAAUUUAGAUUAAUUAUAAAAUAUAAAUGUUAUAUACCUCAAAAUGCUGACAAUCAACAACUAACCAUUUGUCAGGAUUUCUUGGGAUCUGGCAAUCUACAACCAUAGCUAAGCUAACAAGCC